RNAcentral lists this ribosomal RNA (253 nucleotides) under uncultured bacterium. RNAcentral describes it as "partial 16S ribosomal RNA". It matches the Rfam family "Bacterial small subunit ribosomal RNA", at positions 524 to 776 of the family's 1533-position model. The record is from RNAcentral.
UACGAAGGGGGCGAGCGUUGUUCGGAAUUACUGGGCGUAAAGGGCGCGUAGGCGGUCCUGAUCGUCGGAUGUGAAAGGCCUGGGCUCAACCUGGGAAUGGCAUCCGAUACGGCGGGACUGGAGUGUGGGAGAGGUUGGUGGAAUUCCCAGUGUAGAGGUGAAAUUCGUAGAUAUUGGGAAGAACACCGGUGGCGAAGGCGGCCAACUGGACCACAACUGACGCUGAGGCGCGAAAGCGUGGGGAGCAAACAGG